This 534-nucleotide ribosomal RNA is filed under the name Triticum aestivum (bread wheat). Its description in RNAcentral is "partial small subunit ribosomal RNA". Lineage: Eukaryota; Viridiplantae; Streptophyta; Magnoliopsida; Poales; Poaceae. The record is from RNAcentral.
AUGAUUAAGAGAGCUAUAUUUGCAAGAGAAUUAGGGGUUCCUAUUGUAAUGCAUGACUACUUAACUGGGGGAUUCACCGCAAAUACUACUUUGGCUCAUUAUUGCCGCGACAAUGGCCUACUUCUUCACAUUCACCGUGCAAUACAUGCAGUUAUUGAUAGACAGAAAAAUCAUGGUAUGCAUUUCCGUGUAUUAGCUAAAGCAUUGCGUAUGUCUGGGGGAGAUCAUAUCCACUCCGGUAAAGUAGUAGGUAAGUUAGAAGGGGAACGCGAAAUGACUUUAGGUUUUGUUGAUUUAUUGCGCGAUGAUUUUAUUGAAAAAGAUCGUGCUCGCGGUAUCUUUUUCACUCAGGACUGGGUAUCCAUGCCAGGUGUUAUACCGGUAGCUUCAGGUGGUAUUCAUGUUUGGCAUAUGCCAGCUCUGACCGAAAUCUUUGCGGACGAUUCUGUGUUACAAUUUGGUGGAGGAACUUUAGGACAUCCUUGGGGAAAUGCACCUGGUGCAGCAGCUAAUCGAGUGGCUUUAGAAGUGUGA